UGGGGAAUUUUGGACAAUGGGCGAAAGCCUGAUCCAGCAAUGCCGCGUGUGUGAAGAAGGCCCUUCGGGUUGUAAAGCACUUUUGUCCGGAAAGAAACCUUGGCUCUAAUACAGUCGGGGGAUGCGGUACCGGAAGAAUAAGCACCGGCUAACUACGUGCCAGCAGCCGCGGUAAUACGUAGGGUGCAAGCGUUAAUCGGAAUUACUGGGCGUAAAGCGUGCGCAGGCGGUUGCUAAGACCGAUGUGAAAUCCCCGGGCUCAACCUGGGAACUGCAUUGGUGACUGGCAGGCUAGAGUAUGGCAGAGGGGGGUAGAAUUCCACGUGUAGCAGUGAAAUGCGUAGAGAUGUGGAGGAAUACCGAUGGCGAAGGCAGCCCCCUGGGCCAAUACUGACGCUCAUGCACG
This 406-nucleotide ribosomal RNA is filed under the name uncultured bacterium. RNAcentral describes it as "partial 16S ribosomal RNA". It matches the Rfam family "Bacterial small subunit ribosomal RNA", at positions 355 to 755 of the family's 1533-position model. The record is from RNAcentral.